UCUAUUUUAUCAAAACUCUUCUUUAGUCUUGUCAUGGUGCAAAUAUUUCUUUCAAAUGGUUUUUGAGAAGCAAAAAUACAUGUUAUUGAACUAUCAUAUCAAGAUCAGCUGUUUUGCCCGAUGGGACUGCAAGAAGACGUAGAUCUAAUUCUGUUUAUUAGGCAAGAAAAGGAAGAUUCAACAAUCCUGUUACAAUGAACUCACUGUGUCUUCAUUAUUCAGAUUGAUUAAUUUUGAGGAGAUGGGAUUCGAAUCCUGUACCUAAGAGAUGCGUGGAGGUGUAAAAUCCUGUAUACUUGUUGUAACCACAGCGAUAGCUUUCGGAAUUAAAGAAAAUCAUUGCUCUUGGAAGUCAUCAGCAGGAGUCAGGGCAGCUAGUAGGAUGGCAUUUUGAGGCCAACAGGCUAUUAAUUAUAUUAGACAUUCUAUAAAGUGUUGUCGUAUUUUUUGGUAAUGGAAAAUCAGUAAUGAUUCUGCUACAGUGAGUGUUUUUUCAAUUGUUUUCAGUUUAGUCCCUCUA
Long non-coding RNA from Populus nigra (black poplar), 520 nucleotides. RefSeq lists it as uncharacterized. The transcript is spliced from 2 exons. NCBI's taxonomy places the organism in Eukaryota, Viridiplantae, Streptophyta, Magnoliopsida, Malpighiales, Salicaceae. The record is from RefSeq and is a predicted model, not a curated record.